This 889-nucleotide long non-coding RNA is filed under the name Coffea arabica (coffee). RNAcentral describes it as "long non-coding RNA (CARA_LNC002044)". The record is from RNAcentral. Lineage: Eukaryota; Viridiplantae; Streptophyta; Magnoliopsida; Gentianales; Rubiaceae.
UUUUUUUUUUUUUUUUGUCAACACAGGGGUAUCUGGGGGUAGCGGUCUGGGACGACUGGAUACCUGACACCGCCAUUAACCCCAACUAAUCCCACUGCGCCUGAGAGAGCGGGCCCCACCGAAUCAUCAGGAAUUUACCCCGGCUGCCCUUUCUUGGAAUCGAACCCAGGCCCUUCUCACUCAAUGGAGCUACAAGGACCGCCCGAGCAAACCGUGGGGGGCAAUCUCUCCUACUUUAAUGACUUUGAAGAUGUUAACAAAUAGCUGUUCUGCUGCAACAUUACACGCAAGCAAAAUUGCAAUUACUACUGACUGCCUAAUCCUUACUCUUGAUGUUGUUCACUUUUGAGCAAUUAUACCAAAAAUAGUAGUAUGUUCCAAGACUCGACCAUUAAUUAAUAACAUCCAUAUAGAAGAAAAAAUCUCAACGGUUUUUCCCUCAAUUGUCAGGCACAAGACAAGAGGUUCCAACUAUAAACUUGACAGCGAAUAAAACCCUCAUCGAUAUGCCUUGUUUGAACUCCAUUUAAGAGUUGUCGACUUGUCAUCUGAUAACACGCAUGCAGGCGGAAUGAUAAGUGGACAAUGAAUUGCCCAAACCUUUUAAUAUUACUGUAACAGUCUACUUUAUCAGGAAACUAUCUAUCAUAGAAUCACCAGUCUCCACAAAAAGGUAGGAAAUGAAGGGGAGCAAAAAUGUGAACCAAGUUGUAAAACAAAAAAUAGCAGUCGAUUCAUGUAAAGCUGCAUCUCUUGUAGACUUAGAAACAACUAGUACAACUUUAUCAGGAAAAACUACAAGAAAAAACAUGUUACUUAGCUUACAAAAUCAUGGAACUCAGGUUACUGAAUCUAAGAACACGGCAGCGGUGGGCAGUGGUCGUCAUAA